UACAGAGGGGGCAAGCGUUGUUCGGAAUUACUGGGCGUAAAGGGCGCGUAGGUGGCCUUCUAAGUUGAACGUGAAAUCCCUGGGCUCAACCCAGGAACUGCGUCCAAGACUGGGAGGCUUGAAUCCGGGAGAGGGAUGCGGAAUUCCAGGUGUAGCGGUGAAAUGCGUAGAUAUCUGGAGGAACACCGGUGGCGAAGGCGGCAUCCUGGACCGGUAUUGACACUGAGGAGCGAAAGCGUGGGGAGCGAACAGG
This 253-nucleotide ribosomal RNA is filed under the name uncultured bacterium. RNAcentral describes it as "partial 16S ribosomal RNA". It matches the Rfam family "Bacterial small subunit ribosomal RNA", at positions 524 to 776 of the family's 1533-position model. The record is from RNAcentral.